UGAACGCUGGCGGCGUGCCUAAUACAUGCACGUCGAGCGAACAGACGAGGAGCUUGCUCCUCUGACGUUAGCGGCGGACGGGUGAGUAACACGUGGAUAACCUACCUAUAAGACUGGGAUAACUUCGGGAAACCGGAGCUAAUACCGGAUAAUAUAUUGAACCGCAUGGUUCAAUAGUGAAAGACGGUUUUGCUGUCACUUAUAGAUGGAUCCGCGCCGCAUUAGCUAGUUGGUAAGGUAACGGCUUACCAAGGCAACGAUGCGUAGCCGACCUGAGAGGGUGAUCGGCCACACUGGAACUGAGACACGGUCCAGACUCCUACGGGGGGCAGCAGUAGGGAAUCUUCCGCAAUGGGCGAAAGCCUGACGGAGCAACGCCGCGUGAGUGAUGAAGGUCUUCGGAUCGUAAAACUCUGUUAUUAGGGAAGAACAAAUGUGUAAGUAACUAUGCACGUCUUGACGGUACCUAAUCAGAAAGCCACGGCUAACUACGUG
RNAcentral lists this ribosomal RNA (495 nucleotides) under uncultured bacterium. RNAcentral's name for it is "partial 16S ribosomal RNA". It matches the Rfam family "Bacterial small subunit ribosomal RNA", at positions 30 to 507 of the family's 1533-position model. The record is from RNAcentral.